GUCGAGCGGAAACGAUACCAGCUUGCUGGUAGGCGUCGAGCGGCGGACGGGUGAGUAACACUUAGGAAUCUACCUAGUAGUGGGGGAUAGCUCGGGGAAACUCGAAUUAAUACCGCAUACGACCUACGGGAGAAAGGGGGCAACUUGUUGCUCUCGCUAUUAGAUGAGCCUAAGUCGGAUUAGCUAGUUGGUGGGGUAAAGGCCUACCAAGGCGACGAUCUGUAGCUGGUCUGAGAGGAUGAUCAGCCACACCGGGACUGAGACACGGCCCGGACUCCUACGGGAGGCAGCAGUGGGGAAUAUUGGACAAUGGGGGCAACCCUGAUCCAGCCAUGCCGCGUGUGUGAAGAAGGCCUUUUGGUUGUAAAGCACUUUAAGCAGUGAAGAAGACCUAAUGGUUAAUACCCAUUAGCGAUGACAUUAGCUGCAGAAUAAGCACCGGCUAACUCUGUGCCAGCAGCCGCGGUAAUACAGAGGGUGCAAGCGUUAAUCGGAAUUACUGGGCGUAAAGCGAGCGUAGGUGGCUUGAUAAGUCAGAUGUGAAAUCCCCGGGCUUAACCUGGGAACUGCAUCUGAUACUGUUAGGCUAGAAUAGGUGAGAGGAA
RNAcentral lists this ribosomal RNA (605 nucleotides) under Psychrobacter sp. CS2113. RNAcentral's name for it is "bacterial SSU rRNA". It matches the Rfam family "Bacterial small subunit ribosomal RNA", at positions 61 to 659 of the family's 1533-position model. The record is from RNAcentral. Lineage: Bacteria; Pseudomonadati; Pseudomonadota; Gammaproteobacteria; Moraxellales; Moraxellaceae.